RNAcentral lists this unclassified non-coding RNA (338 nucleotides) under uncultured fungus. RNAcentral describes it as "partial contains 18S rRNA, ITS1, 5.8S rRNA, ITS2 and 28S rRNA". The stretch from base 268 to 338 matches the Rfam family "5.8S ribosomal RNA", at positions 1 to 73 of the family's 154-position model. Lineage: Eukaryota; Fungi. The record is from RNAcentral.
AAGGAUCAUUAUCGAAUAAACUUGAACAGGUUGUUGCUGGCCCUCCCCAUGGGCAUGUGCACGCUUGUCAUCUUUAUUUCUCCAACUGUGCACAUCUUGUAGACCUAGAGUUUGUUUGGAAUUUAUUUUUCGAGUUGGGACUGCUGUGCUUUUUUCUACAAAGUCAGCUUUGCCUUGCAUUUUCUGGUCUAUGUCUUUUUACACAAACCUCAGAGUCUGUUUAGAAUGUUGAAUCAGGUCCUUUUGUACCUAUAAAGUUAAUUAUACAACUUUCAGCAACGGAUCUCUUGGCUCUCGCAUCGAUGAAGAACGCAGCCGUACGGGAUCUCUUGGCUCUC